UGUAGUAUAUGGGUUGAUGAAUUUGGCUCUCAUUCUCUCGGACGAGCACCGAACUGACCUCCUCAGGGGAAGCGGCCAAAUAGAGAUACAGUGUUUCCCCGACCUCUGGCUUCACAAGCAAUGGCGGAGAAGCCAAGUACCCCUUCAGAUCCUCGAUGGCCCGUCGGCACUCAUCCGACCAAGAGAAGCCCCUCGCCUGCCUCAGGGUUUUGAAGAACGGGAGGCAUC
RNAcentral lists this long non-coding RNA (228 nucleotides) under Elaeis guineensis (African oil palm). Its description in RNAcentral is "long non-coding RNA (EGUI_LNC078762)". The record is from RNAcentral. Lineage: Eukaryota; Viridiplantae; Streptophyta; Magnoliopsida; Arecales; Arecaceae.